AUAUAGGUGAGAGACCGAUAGCAAACAAGUACCGUGAGGGAAAGAUGAAAAGAACUUUGGAAAGAGAGUUAACAGUACGUGAAAUUGUUGGAAGGGAAACGCAUGCAGUGAUACUUGCUAUUCGGGGCAACUCGAUUGGCAGGCCCGCAUCAGUUUUUCGGGGCGGAAAAGCGUAGAGAGAAGGUAGCAAUUUCGGUUGUGUUAUAGCUCUUUACUGGAUUCGCCCUGGGGGACUGAGGAACGCAGCGUGCUUUUAGCAAUUCCUUCGGGAAUUCCACGCUUAGGAUGCGGGUUUAUGGCUGUAUAUGACCCGUCUUGAAACACGGACC
This 329-nucleotide ribosomal RNA is filed under the name uncultured fungus. RNAcentral's name for it is "LSU rRNA". It matches the Rfam family "Eukaryotic large subunit ribosomal RNA", at positions 320 to 667 of the family's 3401-position model. The record is from RNAcentral. Lineage: Eukaryota; Fungi.